UACGGAGGAUGCGAGCGUUAUCCGGAUUUAUUGGGUUUAAAGGGUGCGUAGGCGGACGGUCAAGUCAGCGGUAAAAAUGCGGUGCUCAACGCCGUACAGCCGUUGAAACUGGCAGUCUUGAGUGGGCGAGAAGUAAGCGGAAUGCGUGGUGUAGCGGUGAAAUGCAUAGAUAUCACGCAGAACGCCGAUUGCGAAGGCAGCUUACCGGCGCUCAACUGACGCUGAGGCACGAAAGUGCGGGUAUCGAACAGG
RNAcentral lists this ribosomal RNA (252 nucleotides) under uncultured Bacteroidales bacterium. RNAcentral describes it as "partial 16S ribosomal RNA". It matches the Rfam family "Bacterial small subunit ribosomal RNA", at positions 524 to 776 of the family's 1533-position model. The record is from RNAcentral. Lineage: Bacteria; Pseudomonadati; Bacteroidota; Bacteroidia; Bacteroidales.